CAGUCGCCGCGGUAAUACGGAGGGUGCAAGCGUUAUCCGGAUUUAUUGGGUUUAAAGGGUUCGUAGGCGGACUUAUAAGUCAGUGGUGAAAGCCUGUCGCUUAACGAUAGAACUGCCAUUGAUACUGUAAGUCUUGAGUAUAUUUGAGGUAGCUGGAAUAAGUAGUGUAGCGGUGAAAUGCAUAGAUAUUACUUAGAACACCAAUUGCGAAGGCAGGUUACCAAGAUAUAACUGACGCUGAGGGACGAAAGCGUGGGUAGCGAACAGGAUUAGAUACCCGUGUAGUCCCUGUCUCUUAUAC
RNAcentral lists this ribosomal RNA (301 nucleotides) under uncultured bacterium. RNAcentral's name for it is "partial 16S ribosomal RNA". It matches the Rfam family "Bacterial small subunit ribosomal RNA", at positions 509 to 807 of the family's 1533-position model. The record is from RNAcentral.